CCUACGGGUGGCAGCAGUGGGGAAUAUUGCACAAUGGGGGAAACCCUGAUGCAGCGACGCCGCGUGAGUGAAGAAGUAUUUCGGUAUGUAAAGCUCUAUCAGCAGGGAAGAAAAUGAUGUUACCUGACUACGAAGCCCCGGCUAAAUACGUGCCAGAAACCGCGGUAAUACGUAGGGGGGAAGCGUUAUGCUGUUUUAAUGGUUGGAAAGGUAAAGUAGGGUGCAGGGUUAGCCAGAAGGGAAAACCAGCGGCUCAACCCCGCGGAUUGCUUUUGGAACUAGCAGGCUGGAGUGCUGGAGGGGGAAGCAGAAUUCCUAGUGUAGCGGUGAAAUGCGUAGAGAUGAGGAGGAACACCGGUGGCGAAGGCGGCUUACUGGACAGAAACUGACACUGAGGCUCGAAAGCGUGGGGAGCAAACAGGAUUAGAUACCCUGGUAGUC
Molecule: ribosomal RNA, 441 nt
Filed under: uncultured bacterium
Lineage: Bacteria
Description: partial 16S ribosomal RNA
Rfam family: Bacterial small subunit ribosomal RNA
Source: RNAcentral